UACGUAGGGUGCAAGCGUUGUCCGGAAUUAUUGGGCGUAAAGAGCUUGUAGGCGGUUUGUCGCGUCUGCUGUGAAAUUUCGGGGCUCAACCCCGAACUUGCAGUGGGUACGGGCAGACUAGAGUGUGGUAGGGGAGACUGGAAUUCCUGGUGUAGCAGUGAAAUGCGUAGAGAUCAAGAGGAACACUCGUGGCGAAAGCGAGCUACUGGACAAUUCCUGACGCUGAGGCUCGAAGGCUAGGGUAGCGAAAGGG
RNAcentral lists this ribosomal RNA (253 nucleotides) under uncultured bacterium. Its description in RNAcentral is "partial 16S ribosomal RNA". It matches the Rfam family "Bacterial small subunit ribosomal RNA", at positions 524 to 776 of the family's 1533-position model. The record is from RNAcentral.